CGGUCACCGGGUAUAGCCGGUAAGAGGUCGCUCUUGGUGGGUUCGUGUGGCGGCAAUAGAGGCAAGUGUUACCGGUAGUUCAGGUUGCUCUAAUCAAUUUCCUCCUCUCCACGGGUUCGAAUUCAACCCCUGGUUCUUUCUCAACUCUUCUUUCUCUCUCGGUCUUUGGAAAAUCUCUGGUAUUGAUUCUCUGUUUCCUUUCCGAUUCCUUUUGGAUCGGACGGCUUGGUUCCUCGAAGGUAUUUGCCUUGCAGAAUGAAGGAGUCCAAGGGCAAGAGAACGUCAAAGGUCUCGAAAGAAGCUUUGAAACCAGUGGAUGA
This is a non-coding RNA of Cucurbita pepo subsp. pepo (vegetable marrow), 320 nucleotides long. Lineage: Eukaryota; Viridiplantae; Streptophyta; Magnoliopsida; Cucurbitales; Cucurbitaceae. The record is from RefSeq and is a predicted model, not a curated record.